UAGAAAGCAAGCUUCCUUCAUGUUUAGAAUG
RNAcentral lists this non-coding RNA (31 nucleotides) under Rattus norvegicus (Norway rat). The record is from RNAcentral. Lineage: Eukaryota; Metazoa; Chordata; Mammalia; Rodentia; Muridae.